Molecule: ribosomal RNA, 144 nt
Filed under: Lepisosteus oculatus (spotted gar)
Lineage: Eukaryota; Metazoa; Chordata; Actinopteri; Semionotiformes; Lepisosteidae
Source: RNAcentral
GAUGGCAGUAUUGUCACCUUGGAGGCUGAUCUCAUUUAGAAAUGAGUUUAGACAUCAGAAUCUAAGAUCUCAGAAGCUAAGCAAGGCAGGAUGAAGUCAGUACUGGGAUGGGACAUUUCCCAGGAAAAAAACAGGUUGCCAUUG